This 495-nucleotide ribosomal RNA is filed under the name uncultured bacterium. RNAcentral describes it as "partial 16S ribosomal RNA". It matches the Rfam family "Bacterial small subunit ribosomal RNA", at positions 28 to 507 of the family's 1533-position model. The record is from RNAcentral.
GACGAACGCUGGCGGCGUGCCUAAUACAUGCAAGUAGAACGCUGAAGGAGGAGCUUGCUCUUCUGGAUGAGUUGCGAACGGGUGAGUAACGCGUAGGUAACCUGCCUGGUAGCGGGGGAUAACUAUUGGAAACGAUAGCUAAUACCGCAUAACAGUAGAUGUUGCAUGACAUUUACUUAAAAGGUGCAAUUGCAUCACUACCAGAUGGACCUGCGUUGUAUUAGCUAGUUGGUGGGGUAACGGCUCACCAAGGCGACGAUACAUAGCCGACCUGAGAGGGUGAUCGGCCACACUGGGACUGAGACACGGCCCAGACUCCUACGGGAGGCAGCAGUAGGGAAUCUUCGGCAAUGGACGGAGGUCUGACCGAGCAACGCCGCGUGAGUGAAGAAGGUUUUCGGAUCGUAAAGCUCUGUUGUAAGAGAAGAACGAGUGUGAGAGUGGAAAGUUCACACUGUGACGGUAUCUUACCAGAAGGGGACGGCUAACUACGUG